GUCUACAGCCAUACCACCCUGAACGCACCCCGUCCCAGAAGCUAAGCAGGGUCGGACCUACUUAGUACUUGGAUGGGGGUCGGGGGGAACCUCACAACAGCUUGUAGGAGGUGGGUA
RNAcentral lists this ribosomal RNA (117 nucleotides) under Propithecus coquereli (Coquerel's sifaka). Lineage: Eukaryota; Metazoa; Chordata; Mammalia; Primates; Indriidae. The record is from RNAcentral.